Molecule: transfer RNA, 21 nt
Filed under: Bradypterus graueri
Lineage: Eukaryota; Metazoa; Chordata; Aves; Passeriformes; Locustellidae
Description: partial tRNA-Gly
Source: RNAcentral
UUCAAAACCCAGAGAAGAGUA